UUAAUGUAUAGUGGUGACAGUCAUGACACAGAGGAGCUAAUGUUAUUGAAAGAAGAGUUUUAUUAAUUACAUUUCCCAAGACAAAGGGGCAUGCUGGGCACAUGGAAAACACCAGGUUUGAGACAGGAGACAGAAGCAGAGGCAGAAGCUAACCUAGGGGAAAGCUUAGGCAAGAGCCUAUAUUGGAAUUUCUACAGGAAGGCAAGUGGGGAGCGGGGUAGGGCAGGGCAGACUGUUCAGGGCUCGCUAGUUUGAGUAACUCUGGUGUGCUUUGGGCUAGAGUGGGGACUCUAGUUGCUUGGUGCCAGGAUUGUUUUAGGGCAGGGAAAAUGUGUUGGUUUGGUGUGUGAGAUUAGAUAAGGAUGUGGUUGGGGAUAUAGACUCCUGGAGAUCGGUUGGUUUGUAUAUGAACCACAUUCUCCCAGCUGAGCCUUUUGCUAUCUCAGAAUUGGCUAGCCCUGGGAGAAGAAGCCUUUCCAAGGCCAGCAAGCUUUUUAAGAUACCCAAACAUCACAGAACAUAGCAAAUAAAAAAUAUGAU
This 540-nucleotide long non-coding RNA is filed under the name Homo sapiens (human). RNAcentral's name for it is "non-protein coding lnc-UFM1-8:1". The record is from RNAcentral. Lineage: Eukaryota; Metazoa; Chordata; Mammalia; Primates; Hominidae.